GCCCCCGUAGCUCAGGGGAUAGAGCACCGGCCUCCGGAGCCGGGUGCGCAGGUUCGAAUCCUGCCGGGGGCACCG
Molecule: transfer RNA, 75 nt
Filed under: Mumia flava
Lineage: Bacteria; Bacillati; Actinomycetota; Actinomycetes; Propionibacteriales; Nocardioidaceae
Description: tRNA-Arg
Rfam family: tRNA
About the family: Transfer RNA (tRNA) molecules are approximately 80 nucleotides in length. Their secondary structure includes four short double-helical elements and three loops (D, anti-codon, and T loops).
Source: RNAcentral